UGCAGCGACGCCGCGUGAAGGAAGAAGUAUCUCGGUAUGUAAACUUCUAUCAGCAGGGAAGAAAAUGACGGUACCUGAAUAAGAAGCCCCGGAUAACUACGUCCCAGCAGCCGCGGUAAUACGUAGGGGGCAAGCGUUAUCCGGAUUUACUGGGUGUAAAGGGAGCGUAGACGGAUGGACAAGUCUGAUGUGAAAGGCUGGGGCUCAACCCCGGGACUGCAUUGGAAACUGCCCGUCUUGAGUGCCGGAGAGGUAAGCGGAAUUCCUAGUGUAGCGGUGAAAUGCGUAGAUAUUAGGAGGAACACCAGUGGCGAAGGCGGCUUACUGGACGGUAACUGACGUUGAGGCUCGAAAGCGUGGGGAGCAAACAGGAUUAGAUACCCUGGUAGUCCACGCGGUAAACGAUGAAUGCUAGGUGUCGAGUGACGAAGUCAUUCGGUGCCGCCGCAAACGCAUUAAGCAUUCCACCUGGGGAGUACGUUCGCAAGAAUGCAACGGAAAGGAAUUGACGG
RNAcentral lists this ribosomal RNA (512 nucleotides) under uncultured bacterium. RNAcentral describes it as "bacterial SSU rRNA". It matches the Rfam family "Bacterial small subunit ribosomal RNA", at positions 387 to 916 of the family's 1533-position model. The record is from RNAcentral.